Molecule: ribosomal RNA, 785 nt
Filed under: uncultured bacterium
Lineage: Bacteria
Description: bacterial SSU rRNA
Rfam family: Bacterial small subunit ribosomal RNA
Source: RNAcentral
CAACGCUGGCGGCGCGCCUAACACAUGCAAGUCGAGCGAGAAAGGGGCAACCUGAGUAAAGCGGCGUACGGGUGAGUAACACGUGGAUCAUCUGCCCUCUAGUGGGGAAUAACUCUGGGAAACCGGAGCUAAUACCGCAUAAGUCCGAGAGGAGAAAGCAGCAAUGCGCUGGAGGAGGAGUCCGCGGCUGAUUAGCUAGUUGGUGGGGUAAAGGCUCACCAAGGCAUUGAUCAGUAGCCGGCCUGAGAGGGCACACGGCCACACUGGCACUGAGACACGGGCCAGACUCCUACGGGAGGCAGCAGUGGGGAAUCUUGCACAAUGGGGGAAACCCUGAUGCAGCGACGCCGCGUGAGCGAUGAAGCCCUUCGGGGUGUAAAGCUCUUUCGACGGGAACGAUAAUGACGGUACCCGGAGAAGAAGCUGCGGCUAACUACGUGCCAGCAGCCGCGGUAAUACGUAGGCAGCAAGCGUUGUUCGGAGUUACUGGGCGUAAAGAGUACGUAGGCGGUUUGCUAAGUCUGGUGUGAAAUCUCCUGGCUUAACUGGGAGGGUGCGCUAGAUACUGGCAGGCUUGAGUAUGGGAGAGGAGAGUGGAAUUCCUGGUGUAGCGGUGAAAUGCGUAGAUAUCAGGAGGAACGCCGGUGGUGUAGACGGCUCUCUGGACCAUUACUGACGCUGAGGUACGAAAGCGUGGGUAGCAAACAGGAUUAGAUACCCUGGUAGUCCACGCCCUAAACGAUGCGGACUUGGUGUAGGCAGUUCAGUCUGUCUGUGCCGGAGCU